RNAcentral lists this ribosomal RNA (440 nucleotides) under uncultured bacterium. RNAcentral describes it as "partial 16S ribosomal RNA". It matches the Rfam family "Bacterial small subunit ribosomal RNA", at positions 338 to 795 of the family's 1533-position model. The record is from RNAcentral.
CCUACGGGGGGCUGCAGUGGGGGAUAUUGCACAAUGGGGGAAACCCUGAUGCAGCGACGCCGCGUGUGGGAAGACGGUCCUCUGGAUUGUAAACCACUGUCCCCAGGGACGGAGAUGACGGUACCUGGGGAGGAAGCUCCGGCUAACUACGUGCCAGCAGCCGCGGUAAUACGUAGGGCGCGAGCGUUGUCCAGAAUUACUGGGGGUAAAGGGAGCGUAGGCGGGGAUGCAAGUUGGGUGUCAAAACUACCGGCUCAACUGGUAGUCGCACUCAAAACUGCAGCGCUUGAGUGAAGUAGAGGCGGGCGGAAUUCCUAGUGUAGCGGUGAAAUGCGUAGAGAUUAGGAGGAACACCAGUGGCGAAGGCGGCCUGCUGGGCUUUUACUAACGCUGAGGCUCGAAAGUGUGGGGAGCAAACAGGAUUAGAUACCCGUGUAGUC